CGCGUAGGCGGCACGGCAAGUCGGGAGUGAAAGGCCUGGGCUCAACCGAGGAACUGCUUUCGAGACUGCCGAGCUAGAGUGCGGAAGGGGCAACUGGAAUUCCCAGUGUAGCGGUGAAAUGCGUAGAUAUUGGGAAGAACACCUGAGGCGAAGGCGGGUUGCUGGGCCGACACUGACGCUGAGGCGCGAAAGCCAGGGAGCAAACG
Molecule: ribosomal RNA, 206 nt
Filed under: uncultured bacterium
Lineage: Bacteria
Description: partial 16S ribosomal RNA
Rfam family: Bacterial small subunit ribosomal RNA
Source: RNAcentral